GAUGAACGCUGGCGGCGUGCCUAAUACAUGCAAGUAGAACGCUGAAGCUUGGUGCUUGCACCGAGCGGAGGAGUUGCGAACGGGUGAGUAACGCGUAGGUAACCUGCCUCUUAGCGGGGGAUAACUAUUGGAAACGAUAGCUAAUACCGCAUAAAAGUCGACAUUGCAUGAUGUUGACUUGAAAGGUGCAAAUGCAUCACUAAGAGAUGGACCUGCGUUGUAUUAGCUAGUUGGUGAGGUAACGGCUCACCAAGGCGACGAUACAUAGCCGACCUGAGAGGGUGAUCGGCCACACUGGGACUGAGACACGGCCCAGACUCCUACGGGAGGCAGCAGUAGGGAAUCUUCGGCAAUGGACGGAAGUCUGACCGAGCAACGCCGCGUGAGUGAAGAAGGUUUUCGGAUCGUAAAGCCCUGUUGUAAGAGAAGAACGAGUGUGAGAGUGGAAAGUUCACACUGUGACGGUAACUUACCAGAAAGGGACGGCUAACUACGUGCCAGCAGCCGCGGUAAUACGUAGGUCCCGAGCGUUAUCCGGAUUUAUUGGGCGUAAAGCGAGCGCAGGCGGUUAGAUAAGUCUGAAGUUAAAGGCUGUGGCUUAACCAUAGUACGCUUUGGAAACUGUUUAACUUGAGUGCAGAAGGGGAGAGUGGAAUUCCAUGUGUAGCGGUGAAAUGCGUAGAUAUAUGGAGGAACACCGGUGGCGAAAGCGGCUCUCUGGUCUGUAACUGACGCUGAGGCUCGAAAGCGUGGGGAGCAAACAGG
RNAcentral lists this ribosomal RNA (765 nucleotides) under uncultured Streptococcus sp. RNAcentral describes it as "bacterial SSU rRNA". It matches the Rfam family "Bacterial small subunit ribosomal RNA", at positions 28 to 776 of the family's 1533-position model. Lineage: Bacteria; Bacillati; Bacillota; Bacilli; Lactobacillales; Streptococcaceae. The record is from RNAcentral.